CGCCGAGAUCCUCCUCCGCCUCCCCCCGCAGCCAUCAUCCCUCCCCCGCGCCUCCACCGUCUGCAAGUUCUGGCGCAGCCUCGCCUCCGACCCCUGCUUCUCCCGCCGCUUCCGCGCGCACCACCGCCGAAACCCUCCCCUCCUCGGCUGCCUCGUCCAUGAUUUUUGCCAGGUUCGCUUCCAGCCUACCCUGGAGCGCCCCAAUCGCGUCCCGCUAUCCAGCUUCCCCGUCCCAAUCGCCGCCGGCGGCCGCUUCCGGAUCCUCGGAUGCCGCCAUGGCCUCGUACUCAUCUUGCACGACUCACAGAAGCAGCUCCUGGUGUGGGACCCCGUCACCGGUGACCAGCACAGCCUGGACAUUCCCCGGGGGUUCGCCGAGAAAACCUGGAUCCAUGCGGCGGUGCGUCGUGCUCCCAGAGAUUUCCACCAUUUCCAGGUGGUCUUGGUAGGCAACAGCGACAUUCAAAGUACACAAGCGGUAGCCUCUGUUUACUUGUCAGUGACCGGUGUAUGGGACAAUCUCGUCUCAACACCGCUUGCACCAGAGGAUUCUGGUUUUCCCACCAUGGUUUACACGGGCAUGCCUGCUGUGAUGGUUGGGGGGUUCCUUUUAUUGGUUGCUUUAUGGGAAUUCACAAGGAAUCCUUGAAUUUGAUUUGGAUAAGCGGAGCCUAGCUUUAAUACCCAUUCCAGUGGGGAACGCUCGAGACAUGAGUGUAGGCAAUAUUUGGGUUAUACCGGCAGAGGGUAGUGGCCUUGGUUUCCUCUUCCUGAGAGGCUUUUGUGCCCAAUUAUGGAAGAUGAAGACCGAUUGCAAGGGUGUUUCUUCAUGGGUGCUGGGAAGAAGCAUUGAUCUCGACAAGUUACUUUCCUUGAAUUCAGAGAUGGAGAUAGGGUACCCAUCGAUAGUAGGGUUUGCCGAGGGCAAUAAUGUGGUGCUUCUGUGGAUGUCUGCCGGAGUCUUCAUGGUUCAGUUUGAAUCAUUGCAGUUCAAGAAACUUUUUGAAUCCCAUGAGUGGUGUUGCUUUUAUCCACUUGAAGGUGUCUAUACUGCAGGCACAGACAUUGGUGGUGGAAACGAUGAAGCUAAACUUUUGUACAAUACAUGAUAUGAUUUAUCCGGAUAGACAUGUGGACGAGAUAUAUUGAUUGAGCAGGUAUCAAGAGUCAGGUUUCGUUGUCAGAGAUGAAUAAAUGGAUUAUGUAAUGUAUGUUCUUCCAUUCUGUAUGGUGUGCAUGGGGCCUGUGAUGUGCUCCUCCACAAGGGAGAUGACCUUGCAUAUAUAUCACGCACCGGUCAAAUGCGAUGUGAACCUGUAGGAAUUAUCAUGCCGUGGUCAACUGUAACUUGGAGUUGAUCUUCAAGCUGUGAACGACCGUCUAUUAUCCGAUUUCUGUAGGCAAUAUUCCUUCUGGCGUCAAGAAAAAUUAGCAUGCUUCAGUUAAUGGAUUAGCGGCAGCCCUGUCACUGAAUAUUGAAGUUGCCUGCACUAUUUUGUGUGUCCAGAUUUCUUUCCAGCCU
This is a long non-coding RNA of Triticum dicoccoides, 1522 nucleotides long. RefSeq lists it as uncharacterized. The record is from RefSeq and is a predicted model, not a curated record. The transcript is spliced from 3 exons. Lineage: Eukaryota; Viridiplantae; Streptophyta; Magnoliopsida; Poales; Poaceae.